This 603-nucleotide ribosomal RNA is filed under the name Vibrio parahaemolyticus. RNAcentral's name for it is "bacterial SSU rRNA". It matches the Rfam family "Bacterial small subunit ribosomal RNA", at positions 76 to 667 of the family's 1533-position model. Lineage: Bacteria; Pseudomonadati; Pseudomonadota; Gammaproteobacteria; Vibrionales; Vibrionaceae. The record is from RNAcentral.
ACCUUCGGGGGACGAUAACGGCGUCGAGCGGCGGACGGGUGAGUAAUGCCUAGGAAAUUGCCCUGAUGUGGGGGAUAACCAUUGGAAACGAUGGCUAAUACCGCAUGAUGCCUACGGGCCAAAGAGGGGGACCUUCGGGCCUCUCGCGUCAGGAUAUGCCUAGGUGGGAUUAGCUAGUUGGUGAGGUAAGGGCUCACCAAGGCGACGAUCCCUAGCUGGUCUGAGAGGAUGAUCAGCCACACUGGAACUGAGACACGGUCCAGACUCCUACGGGAGGCAGCAGUGGGGAAUAUUGCACAAUGGGCGCAAGCCUGAUGCAGCCAUGCCGCGUGUAUGAAGAAGGCCUUCGGGUUGUAAAGUACUUUCAGUCGUGAGGAAGGUGGUAGUGUUAAUAGCGCUAUCAUUUGACGUUAGCGACAGAAGAAGCACCGGCUAACUCCGUGCCAGCAGCCGCGGUAAUACGGAGGGUGCGAGCGUUAAUCGGAAUUACUGGGCGUAAAGCGCAUGCAGGUGGUUUGUUAAGUCAGAUGUGAAAGCCCGGGGCUCAACCUCGGAAUAGCAUUUGAAACUGGCAGACUAGAGUACUGUAGAGGGGGGUAGAAU